RNAcentral lists this microRNA precursor (75 nucleotides) under Myotis lucifugus (little brown bat). RNAcentral describes it as "miRNA (ENSMLUG00000028861.1)". The record is from RNAcentral. Lineage: Eukaryota; Metazoa; Chordata; Mammalia; Chiroptera; Vespertilionidae.
GCGUGUGUGUGUGUGUAUGUAUGUACAUGUGUGCAUGUGUGUGUGCACGUGUGUGUGCAUGUGCAUGUACAUGUG